Molecule: ribosomal RNA, 293 nt
Filed under: Salmonella enterica subsp. enterica serovar Agona str. 392869-1
Lineage: Bacteria; Pseudomonadati; Pseudomonadota; Gammaproteobacteria; Enterobacterales; Enterobacteriaceae
Description: partial 23S ribosomal RNA
Rfam family: Bacterial large subunit ribosomal RNA
Source: RNAcentral
AUCUGCCGUGGGCGCUGGAGAACUGAGGGGGGCUGCUCCUAGUACGAGAGGACCGGAGUGGACGCAUCACUGGUGUUCGGGUUGUCAUGCCAAUGGCACUGCCCGGUAGCUAAAUGCGGAAGAGAUAAGUGCUGAAAGCAUCUAAGCACGAAACUUGCCCCGAGAUGAGUUCUCCCUGAGACUUUAGGUCUCCUGAAGGAACGUUGAAGACGACGACGUUGAUAGGCCGGGUGUGUAAGCGCAGCGAUGCGUUGAGCUAACCGGUACUAAUGAACCGUGAGGCUUAACCUUAC